UCCAGACUCCUACGGGAGGCAGCAGUGGGGGAUAUUGCACAAUGGGGGAAACCCUGAUGCAGCGACGCCGCGUGGGCGAAGAAGUAUUUCGGUAUGUAAAGCCCUAUCAGCAGGGAAGAAGAAAUGACGGUACCUGAGUAAGAAGCACCGGCUAAAUACGUGCCAGCAGCCGCGGGAAUACGUAUGGUGCAAGCGUUAUCCGGAUUUACUGGGUGUAAAGGGAGCGCAGGCGGCACGGCAAGCGUGAUGUGAAAGCGCGCGGCCCAACCGCGGGACUGCAUUGGGAACUACCGGGCUGGAGUGCCGGAGAGGUAGGCGGAAUUCCUAGUGUAGCGGUGAAAUGCGUAGAUAUUAGGAGGAACACCAGUGGCGAAGGCGGCCUACUGGACGGUGACUGACGCUGAGGCUCGAAAGCGUGGGGAGCCAACAGGAUUAGAUACCCUCGUA
Molecule: ribosomal RNA, 447 nt
Filed under: uncultured bacterium
Lineage: Bacteria
Description: bacterial SSU rRNA
Rfam family: Bacterial small subunit ribosomal RNA
Source: RNAcentral